AGAAAAUGGGCUGAACCAAUCCACAGGCGGGGAAGAGCAGAGCCGGCCUGCCUGCCCCGGGGGGUCUGUUGCCGCUUUGGGGACCCGUGUUUGUGUAAGGAGCUCUCCUGCAGGUUCCAGGAGGAUGAAAACAUCCAAUGACUCCCAGACGUUGCUGAGCUGGACGCAUUUAUUUGUACUAACGCUCCUGGCCACACACUUCCAGAUGGACGGUCCCAAAGAGAAUCGUUUGUUUCCUCUCGUCUCCCUCCACCAUGCACUUUACGACUGCAGAGGGUCAGGCUCACCAUGUGUUUCCCUCUCAUCUCACCCGGCAUGUAUUCUCAAGGUCACCACAAGGCCCAACAUAGCUGCUGAAGCUCCAGCCAUCCUAUCUGCAUUCCAGGGAGCACCAGGAACAGAAGGCAGGAUUCCUGACCCAGAGCUUCCGUGGGACAACACAUCCCCCGUCCCCUUCCACAACAUCACAGCUGCUGGUGAAGAGGCCCCCGGGUGGGCUCCAGCUGUCAGGAGAGCAGCCUUUCUCCCAGCUUGGCCUUGGGAUGACAAAGAAGUUCGCAUGGGGUCCCUGGACAAGCACAGUGAUUCAGAUGAGCAGCAUUUUUUUCUGGCUUUAUCCCCUGCACCGAAUGAGCUAUUGGGUGAGCCUUCCUGAGCCAGUGUCAGAAGGGCUUGGUAAACGCUGAGGAAAUCUGAGGUGAGCAGACAUUGGAACAGGUGUUGCCUGGAAAUACAAAUCAGUAGCCUCUCUUCGUUCAGUGGGCAAAUAUUUGCGGACUUACGAUGUGCCGUGCGCUGACAUUAGUGCUGAGCAGACAGAGGAGGUCGCUGCUCUCGUGGAGCUUACGUGUCAGAUCGGGAAGACAAACCAUGAGCCAAUCAGCAAAUAAGACCGUUUCAAAGGGGUAAUGAAGAUGGGGUGGGCAGCAUGGUUAGCCGGCAGAGGAUUCUCCUUGGGGAAGUGGUAUUUGAGUAGAAGUUGAAUGGUGCAAAGGAUGCAGACGUGGGGAGACGGAGGGGAAGAAUGUUCCAGCAGAAGAGUGAAGGGAGCAGAGCAGACAGGAAACCAGUGAAUGUGGAGCACGGUGGACAAAGAGCCGGGGUAGGAGGUGAGGUCAGAGAGGAGGCAGGAGCCUACAUGGAGGGCAAAGAGAUCAGAGGGAAAGAUUUUGGGUUUUCAUUUAAGGGCAACAGGGAGCCCACUAUAAGUCACCGAGAGAUGCCGUCUGACUACUUUCUCACAGAUCACUUGGGAUCGUCCAUGGCAGAGGUGGCAAGAGGGAAGCAGGCAGACCAGUCUAAAGGCUUCGCAUUGGUCCAGACAUAGUGGCAGACUAGGUUUGAAUAGUGGUCAGCAAACUAUGGUCUGUGGCCUCCUGAUUUUGUAAAUAAAGUUUUAUUGGAACAUAGACACAUCCAUGUUUACACAUCGUCCGUGGCUGCUUUGGCACUGAAGGCAAGUUGAGUGACGGUAACGGAGAUCGUCAUGGCCUGCAAGGCUGAAAAUAUUUAAUCUCUGGUCCUUUACAGGAAAAGUUUACCAACCCCUGGACUAGAGGGGGAGAUGACAGGGACAUAUUUUAGGUGUUGCCAACAAGAUUUAUUGGUAGAUUGGACACAGGAGAAAGGGAAAGACAGAAUUCGAGUUCUAGGCUUUGGGCUUGAGGAUCUUGGCGGAUGGUGGCGCCACUCACUGAGACGAGAAGAUUAUGUUUGGGAAGGAAAACCUAGAAGUCUGUUGUGAGCAUGCUAUUUUGAGAUGCCUAGGGGCACAACGACAAGCAGAGCAGAGAGCGUCUUCCCGCUCACGAGUCCAUUUGGAUUCCCAGGCCACUCACAUAACUCCGUGGCUAUUAUGAAAUCGCUCGGUGAGGGACCGAGCCUUCUCAUACAGAGGUGCAUGGUCAUCGGGAGAGUCGGGAACCAAGGGGACAGAUAUUCAGAGGCACUGACACAGGAGCCCUCGCUGUGCUCAGGAAGAUCAAGAAAGCAGGAAGACAUAAU
This 2004-nucleotide long non-coding RNA is filed under the name Equus caballus (horse). Its description in RNAcentral is "lncRNA (ENSECAG00000031506.3)". Lineage: Eukaryota; Metazoa; Chordata; Mammalia; Perissodactyla; Equidae. The record is from RNAcentral.